AAGUCGUAACAAGGUUUCCGUAGGUGAACCUGCGGAAGGAUCAUUAUUGAAUACGUUUGGUUCUGAUGCUGGCUCUUCACUGAGCAUGUGCUCGAUCCAUAACUAUUUAUCUUCUCUUGUGCACCUUUUGUAGUCUUUCAGAGCAAGUGAUAACUCUCGCAGCAAUGCGGUUUGGGGGACUUGGGCGUGAGCCCUUCCCCUGCGUUUGCUUCUUUGGAGGGCUAUGUUUUCAUAUACACUAUAAAGUUACAGAAUGUCUUUUAAAGAUUGUGCUAGUCGCAGUCAUUAAACCUAUACAACUUUCAGCAACGGAUCUCUUGGCUCUCCCAUCGAUGAAGAACGCAGCGAAAUGCGAUAAGUAAUGUGAAUUGCAGAAUUCAGUGAAUCAUCGAAUCUUUGAACGCACCUUGCGCCCUUUGGUAUUCCGAAGGGCAUGCCUGUUUGAGUGUCAUUAAAUUAUCAACCUUGUUCGCUUUUACGAGCUUGAACGAGGCUUGGAUGUGAGGGCUUGCUGGCUUCCUUCAGUGGAUGGUCUGCUCCCUUUAAAUGCAUUAGUGGGAUCUCUUGUGGACCGUCACUUGGUGUGAUAAUUAUCUAUGCCACUUGACUUUGAAGCAAAUCUUAUGGGAACCCGCUCAUAACCGUCUCGCAAGGUAUUUGACCUCAAAUCAGGUAGGACUACCCGCUGAACUUAAGCAUAUCAAUAAGCGGAGGAAAAGAAACUAACAAGGAUUCCCCUAGUAACUGCGAGUGAAGCGGGAAAAGCUCAAAUUUAAAAUCUGGCGGUCCCUGUGGCCGUCCGAGUUGUAAUUUAGAGAA
Molecule: unclassified non-coding RNA, 819 nt
Filed under: uncultured Mycena
Lineage: Eukaryota; Fungi; Basidiomycota; Agaricomycetes; Agaricales; Tricholomataceae
Description: sequence contains ITS1, 5.8S rRNA gene and ITS2
Rfam family: 5.8S ribosomal RNA (bases 298-451)
Source: RNAcentral